RNAcentral lists this long non-coding RNA (323 nucleotides) under Felis catus (domestic cat). Its description in RNAcentral is "lncRNA (ENSFCAG00000040200.2)". The record is from RNAcentral. Lineage: Eukaryota; Metazoa; Chordata; Mammalia; Carnivora; Felidae.
CUUCCCUUAGUUACUUUUUAUCAGCAUCUGGACAAGAUUCAGCAACUCCACUUGUCUUGAUAGAGUGGAGUACUUCCAAGGGACACCUCCUUUUUGAGGUAUCCGGAGAACUACGGUUGGUCUGAAUCGGAUCGUGUGCCACUCCCCAGACUAAUCACUGCAACCAUCAGGACGAGUUUCUAAGAUCGGCUGUGGGUAACAGAAUCCCGAGCCCUAUAGGUCAGAGCAAACCACAACUUUUCCAAGGAUUACAACUGCUUUCUGCAGAGUUCAUGGCUUUCAGCCCCAGAAAUUUGCAUGAUCUGGUUGAAAAACGGGGAAUA